GGCAACAUUGGUUGAAACCGCCAAAAAAAAAAAAAAUUACAGAAAGUUAACACGUGAAGCCAAAGGGAGAAACCACCCAUUUCGACACUCAAUAAAGAGAAAAUCCUCCCCUCCUAGCUCGGCCGCGCCUCAGUUGGCCGGCAGCACUUCCACCGUCGGUCGUCGUCAUCAUUUCCGGCCACACUUCGAUCGCACCCAUUUUCCCCAAAUUAUGCACUUUCCAUCUCCACCAUUUCGACACUUAGACGGGAGAACGCAGCGAACGAAAAUCAAACAAAAGGUAAACAUUUCUUCUAUCGUUCAACAACAACAACAACUUCUUAGGUACUGUAUUCAUCACACUGUACAAAGAUGUAUCACUACGAUUCAAAAUAAGUGCCUGGUUCCUUUCUAGGUAGAAUUGUGUUUCUAUUUCCAAAGGUUGUACAAAAAUUAGAUGGCAUCUCAGAAUUCUUUUACUAGUGUUUAAUUGAAGAUGGUUUCUAGUUCAAAGCAUGCUUUUAUGGUGGAUGCAGAUUGGUUA
This 523-nucleotide long non-coding RNA is filed under the name Olea europaea subsp. europaea. The record is from RNAcentral. Lineage: Eukaryota; Viridiplantae; Streptophyta; Magnoliopsida; Lamiales; Oleaceae.